Molecule: ribosomal RNA, 253 nt
Filed under: uncultured bacterium
Lineage: Bacteria
Description: partial 16S ribosomal RNA
Rfam family: Bacterial small subunit ribosomal RNA
Source: RNAcentral
UACAGAGGGUGCAAGCGUUGCUCGGAAUCACUGGGCGUAAAGCGCGCGUAGGUGGACAUCUAAGUCGGAUGUGAAAGCCCUGGGCUUAACCUAGGAACUGCAUCCGAUACUGGGUGACUAGAGUAUGGUAGAGGGAAGUGGAAUUUCCGGUGUAGCGGUGAAAUGCGUAGAUACCGGAAGGAACACCAGUGGCGAAGGCGACUUCCUGGAUCAAUACUGACACUUAGGUGCGAAAGCGUGGGGAGCAAACAGG